Molecule: ribosomal RNA, 254 nt
Filed under: uncultured bacterium
Lineage: Bacteria
Description: partial 16S ribosomal RNA
Rfam family: Bacterial small subunit ribosomal RNA
Source: RNAcentral
UACGUAGGGUGCAAGCGUUGUCCGGAAUUAUUGGGCGUAAAGAGCUCGUAGGCGGUUUGUCGCGUCUGCUGUGAAAACCCGAGGCUCAACCUCGGGCCUGCAUUCGAUACGGGCAGGCUAGAGUUCGGUAGGGGAGACUGGAAUUCCUGGUGUAGCGGUGAAAUGCGCAGAUAUCAGGAGGAACACCGGUGGCGAAGGCGGGUCUCUGGGCCGAUAUUGACGCUGGAGGAGCGAAAGCGUGGGGAGCAAACAGG